GACGAACGCUGGCGGCAUGCCUAAUACAUGCAAGUCGAGCGAACAGAUGAGGUGCCUGCACUUCUGACGUUAGCGGCGAACGGGUGAGUAACACGUAAGGAAUCUACCUAUAAGCGGGGGAUAACAUUCGGAAACGGAUGCUAAUACCGCAUAAUAUCUUCUUCCGCAUGGAAGAAGAUUGAAAGACGGCUCUGCUGUCACUUGUAGAUGACCUUGCGGUGCAUUAGUUAGUUGGUGGGGUAACGGCCUACCAAGACGAUGAUGCAUAGCCGACCUGAGAGGGUGAUCGGCCACAUUGGGACUAAGACACGGCCCAAACUCCUACGGGAGGCAGCAGUAGGGAAGCUUCCGCAAUGGGCGAAAGCCUGACGGAGCAAUGCCGCGUGAGUGAAGAAGGCCUUCGGUCGUAAAACUCUGUUAUAAGAGAAGAACAAAUUGUAGAGUAACUGCUACAGUCUUGACGGUAUCUUAUCAGAAAGCCACGGCUAACUACGUGCCAGCCGCCGCGGUAA
This 512-nucleotide ribosomal RNA is filed under the name uncultured bacterium. Its description in RNAcentral is "partial 16S ribosomal RNA". It matches the Rfam family "Bacterial small subunit ribosomal RNA", at positions 28 to 523 of the family's 1533-position model. The record is from RNAcentral.